RNAcentral lists this ribosomal RNA (500 nucleotides) under uncultured Lachnospiraceae bacterium. RNAcentral describes it as "bacterial SSU rRNA". It matches the Rfam family "Bacterial small subunit ribosomal RNA", at positions 8 to 507 of the family's 1533-position model. Lineage: Bacteria; Bacillati; Bacillota; Clostridia; Lachnospirales; Lachnospiraceae. The record is from RNAcentral.
AGAGUUUGAUCCUGGCUCAGGAUGAACGCUGGCGGCGUGCUUAACACAUGCAAGUCGAACGAAGCACUUACUUUGAUUCCUUCGGGUUGAUUAGUACUGUGACUGAGUGGCGGACGGGUGAGUAACGCGUGGGUAACCUGCCCCAUACAGGGGGAUAACAGAUAGAAAUGUCUGCUAAUACCGCAUAAGACCACAGCGCCGCAUGGUGCAGGGGUAAAAACUCCGGUGGUAUGGGAUGGACCCGCGUCUGAUUAGCUGGUUGGUGAGGUAAAGGCUCACCAAGGCGACGAUCAGUAGCCGACCUGAGAGGGUGACCGGCCACAUUGGGACUGAGACACGGCCCAAACUCCUACGGGAGGCAGCAGUGGGGAAUAUUGCACAAUGGGGGAAACCCUGAUGCAGCGACGCCGCGUGAAGGAUGAAGUAUUUCGGUAUGUAAACUUCUAUCAGCAGGGAAGAAAAUGACGGUACCUGACUAAGAAGCCCCGACUAACUACGUG